UCCCUUCUUUAAGUUAUUGUUUAUGUGUGA
RNAcentral lists this non-coding RNA (30 nucleotides) under Mus musculus (house mouse). Lineage: Eukaryota; Metazoa; Chordata; Mammalia; Rodentia; Muridae. The record is from RNAcentral.